Molecule: ribosomal RNA, 857 nt
Filed under: Didymella pomorum
Lineage: Eukaryota; Fungi; Ascomycota; Dothideomycetes; Pleosporales; Didymellaceae
Description: LSU rRNA
Rfam family: Eukaryotic large subunit ribosomal RNA
Source: RNAcentral
CAGGGAUUGCCCUAGUAACGGCGAGUGAAGCGGCAACAGCUCAAUUUGAAAUCUGGCGUCUUCGGCGUCCGAGUUGUAAUUUGCAGAGGGCGCUUUGGCAUUGGCAGCGGUCCAAGUUCCUUGGAACAGGACGUCACAGAGGGUGAGAAUCCCGUACGUGGUCGCUAGCCUUUACCGUGUAAAGCCCCUUCGACGAGUCGAGUUGUUUGGGAAUGCAGCUCUAAAUGGGAGGUAAAUUUCUUCUAAAGCUAAAUACUGGCCAGAGACCGAUAGCGCACAAGUAGAGUGAUCGAAAGAUGAAAAGCACUUUGGAAAGAGAGUUAAAAAGCACGUGAAAUUGUUGAAAGGGAAGCGCUUGCAGCCAGACUUGCCUGUAGUUGCUCAUCCGGGUUUUUACCCGGUGCACUCUUCUAUAGGCAGGCCAGCAUCAGUUUGGGCGGUUGGAUAAAGGUCUCUGUCAUGUACCUCUCUUCGGGGAGAACUUAUAGGGGAGACGACAUGCAACCAGCCUGGACUGAGGUCCGCGCAUCUGCUAGGAUGCUGGCGUAAUGGCUGUAAGCGGCCCGUCUUGAAACACGGACCAAGGAGUCUAACAUCUAUGCGAGUGUUUGGGUGUCAAGCCCGAGCGCGUAAUGAAAGUGAACGGAGGUGGGAACCUUUCGGGGUGCACCAUCGACCGAUCCUGAUGUCUUCGGAUGGAUUUGAGUAAGAGCAUAGCUGUUGGGACCCGAAAGAUGGUGAACUAUGCUUGAAUAGGGUGAAGCCAGAGGAAACUCUGGUGGAGGCUCGCAGCGGUUCUGACGUGCAAAUCGAUCGUCAAAUUUGGGCAUAGGGGCGAAAGACUAAUCGAACUAUCU